CGGAGGAUCCGAGCGUUAUCCGGAUUCAUUGGGUUAAAGGGUGCGCAGGCGGGACGCUAAGUCCGCGGUGAAGGUUCCGGCCCAACCGGGACACUGCCAUGGAUACUGGCGACCUAGAUCGAGGACGGCGCGGGUGGAACAUGUCAAGUAGCGGUGAAAUGCGUAGAUAUGACAUGGAACGCCGAUCGGGAAGCCGGCCCGCGAGACCUCCGAUGACGCUGAGGCACGAAAGCGUGGGGAUCAAACAGGAUU
RNAcentral lists this ribosomal RNA (252 nucleotides) under uncultured bacterium. RNAcentral's name for it is "partial 16S ribosomal RNA". It matches the Rfam family "Bacterial small subunit ribosomal RNA", at positions 526 to 779 of the family's 1533-position model. The record is from RNAcentral.